This 513-nucleotide ribosomal RNA is filed under the name uncultured bacterium. RNAcentral's name for it is "bacterial SSU rRNA". It matches the Rfam family "Bacterial small subunit ribosomal RNA", at positions 8 to 518 of the family's 1533-position model. The record is from RNAcentral.
AGAGUUUGAUUCUGGCUCAGGAUGAACGCUGGCGGCGUGACUUAACACAUGCAAGUCGAACGGAGUUUUAACGGAAGUUUCGGAUGGAAGUUAGGAACUUAGUGGCGGACGGGUGAGUAACGCGUGGGUAACCUGCCUCAUACAGGGGGACUAACAGUUAGAAAUGACUGCUAAGACCGCAUAAUAUAGCGAAACCGCAUGAUUUUUGCUAUCAAAUAUUUAUAGGGUAUGGAGAUGGGCCCGCGUCUGAUUAGCUAGUUGGUGGGGUAAAAGCCUACCAAGGCGACGAUCAGUAGCCGGCUUGAGAGACGUGACCGGCCACAUUGGGACUGAGACACGGCCCAAACUCCUACGGGAGGCAGCAGUGGGGAAUAUUGGACAAUGGGGGAAACCCUGAUCCAGCGACGCCCGCGUGAGUGAAGAAGUAUUUCGGUAUGUAAAGCUCUAUCAGCGAGGGAAGAUAAUGACAGUACCUGACUAAGAAGCCCCGGCUAACUACGUGCCAGCAGCUGC